RNAcentral lists this non-coding RNA (27 nucleotides) under Mus musculus (house mouse). The record is from RNAcentral. Lineage: Eukaryota; Metazoa; Chordata; Mammalia; Rodentia; Muridae.
UGUGAGUGACCUCCGACCGGUGCCAGU